This is a long non-coding RNA of Passer domesticus (house sparrow), 1453 nucleotides long. RefSeq lists it as uncharacterized. The transcript is spliced from 4 exons. The record is from RefSeq and is a predicted model, not a curated record. Lineage: Eukaryota; Metazoa; Chordata; Aves; Passeriformes; Passeridae.
AGUCACAUUAGCUUAGAUAAUGGGAGAAUUUUUCUUCAUUGAAAAUGCUCCCUGUCGCUUAAGAAGAACUCACUGAGGCAGCCUGCCAUCUAGCUUUUUCACAGCAAAAUAGGCUUGCAGACUGCAGAUGAGAGACUCGGGAGCAGAGACAAUUUUAACUUAGCCAUCCCUAAUUUAUCUCAAGCUUUUUCAAUUCAUCUUCACUGCUCUAUGCACACUGGAACACCAGAUUGUCAACCCCUGGGAAAAGAAAGCAGCCAGGGAUCUAGAGAGCUGUCACAUCCUGAGAAAUAUUUAAAUUGUGCUGAUUUUCUUCUGGAGUGCUGAGCAGAGGGAAUGAAACUCUCCAUCAAGUCAUAGCUUUGCGGGCAAUAGAUCAGAGGAUACUGCCAGUUUUUCUAAUGGAUUAUUGUUAUCGGGCAGGUUCUUCCUGAAGGUCCUUUUAAGUGAAGCAGCCAUAUCUUGGAUUUCAUUGUGUGACCUUAAAACUUAGUGUCAAGCCCUUCAGGUAGCUACUAGAUUUUGUGAGGUUAAAAGGAAUUUGUUAUGUGGCUUUUUUAAUCAGACAGCCAACCUGUUCCUUGACCUGAUGCGAGUACUACUGGACAUUUUUUGUGACAGGCUGCUGCAGGCAUCUUCUAGAAGUGACUGUGUUUGGCUACUAUGUGAGCAAAGCAAUCACACUUCAGCAUCGAGCCCAACGUGCCUGAAGUCUCACUGGCUGUGGGCUGAAUGAUUAAAUGAACAUUAUAACGGGAAACAUGCAAGUUUAUUGUGAUUGUUUUGAUUUUGUGUCAAAGCCCUUCUUAGCUAAUAGGUAGAAUCCCUAAGUAGUUGUUCCUCCCUACUUAUCAUCUAUUGUAUACUUUCCAAUUUCCUAAUUCUCAUUACUGAUGCCAAUCAAAUUCUCAUCCAUCUGUAGGUUAUUGUAAUAUUGAUAUGUCUCUAACACACAGUACUACUGACUAUAAUUGUUUAAAUUAAUGCAUUCCUGGAAGUUUGUUUCAAGAGGUUGGCUACUUACUAUAAAACAAGUUACAGUAAUGCUGGCAGGACUUGAAGAAGUCUAGAUUGCAAUGUCUGAUUCUUCUACCUAAAAUAAUUCAGGAAACUACUGAAUAAUAUUGAGAUCAAAAGCAUUGAUCUCAUAUUAAGAGCUUAUUCCUUUUUUAAAUGACUAGGUGACACAACAAUUUCUGUGUUGCAUGCCCUCAUCUAGCUAAGUUAUAUGUCAGACUGCUAAAGAAUUUAGAAAAAAUGUAAAUGUAUGUGAUUAAUGCCCAUUCAAAACAUUUAUUUUCCAGGUCUGUUGCUUAUCAUGAGUCUUGCAGAAACUUUACAAAGUUAAAAUUAGAUAGAAAAGAAAAGGAAUUUUUUUAGCUGAAGCCAGUAAGAGUAAUGGAUAUGUAAGUGGGUAUAAGUAAAUAAUAAAGAAAUAACCUCACCCUUUCAA